AGUCUUAGGAGAUUUAUCUAAGAUAAAACCUGCCCACUGUGGGGAAUAAACGGCCGCGGUACUCUGACCGUGCUAAGGUAGCGCAAUCAAUUGGCUUUUAAAUGAGGUCAUGUAUGAAUGGAAUAACGGAAUUUGGCUGUCUCUUUAAUUAAUCUAUUGAAAUUACUAUGUAGGUGAAAAAGCCUACAAUAAGAAAAAAGACGAGAAGACCCUUAGAGCUUGAUCUUAAGUUUAGGAAAUAUACCAUUUUCUUAAAAUAGUUUUGUUGGGGCAACAUAGGAACAUUUGAGAACUUCCUUAAAAAAAUUAACCGAUAAUUAUAAAAUUGAAUAAGGUACCUUAGGGAUAACAGCAAAAUACUAUAAAUGAGUUUGUGACCUCGAUGUUGGACUAGAAAACUAAAUGGCUAGCCGCUUUUUAGUAAAGUUCUGUUCGAACUGUGAUUUUCU
Molecule: ribosomal RNA, 449 nt
Filed under: Aldisa fragaria
Lineage: Eukaryota; Metazoa; Mollusca; Gastropoda; Nudibranchia; Dorididae
Description: partial 16S ribosomal RNA
Rfam family: Bacterial large subunit ribosomal RNA
Source: RNAcentral